CGCGUGCAGGAUGAAGGCUUCGGGUUGUAAACUGCUUUUGUACGGAACGAAACGGCUCACUCUAAUACGGUGGGCUAAUGACGGUACCGUAAGAAUAAGCACCGGCUAACUACGUGCCAGCAGCCGCGGUAAUACGUAGGGUGCGAGCGUUAAUCGGAAUUACUGGGCGUAAAGCGUGCGCAGGCGGUUAUGUAAGACAGAUGUGAAAUCCCCGGGCUCAACCUGGGACCUGCAUUUGUGACUGCAUAGCUAGAGUACGGUAGAGGGGGAUGGAAUUCCGCGUGUAGCAGUGAAAUGCGUAGAUAUGCGGAGGAACACCGAUGGCGAAGCAAUCCCCUGGACUGUACUGACGCUCAUGCACGAAAGCGUGGGGAGCAAACAGGAUUAGAUACCCUGGUAGUCCACCCCUAAACGAUGUCACUGGUUGUUGGGUCUUCCUGACUCA
RNAcentral lists this ribosomal RNA (445 nucleotides) under uncultured bacterium. Its description in RNAcentral is "bacterial SSU rRNA". It matches the Rfam family "Bacterial small subunit ribosomal RNA", at positions 398 to 842 of the family's 1533-position model. The record is from RNAcentral.